Oenanthe melanoleuca is the source of this 241-nucleotide long non-coding RNA. RefSeq lists it as uncharacterized. Lineage: Eukaryota; Metazoa; Chordata; Aves; Passeriformes; Muscicapidae. The record is from RefSeq and is a predicted model, not a curated record. The transcript has 3 exons.
CCAAAAUGGGUUUGUACCCUAAAUGGGUUUACCCAGGUGUGUUCUCCCCAGGUGUGUGUGUUCUCCCCAGGUGUGUGUGUUCUCCCCCAGGUGUGUGUGUUUUCCCCAGGUGUGUGUGCUCCCCUAGGUGUGUGUGUUCUCCCCAGGUGUGUGUGUUCUCCCCAGGUGUGUGUGUUCUCCCCAGGUGUGUGUGUUCUCCCCCAGGUGUGUGUGUUCUCCCCCAGGUGUGUGUGUGCUCCCC